UAGGUAGUUUAAAGUUGUGGAGAUUUGGACUCCACAGCUUUAGGCGGCCUGCU
Molecule: microRNA precursor, 53 nt
Filed under: Ciona intestinalis (vase tunicate)
Lineage: Eukaryota; Metazoa; Chordata; Ascidiacea; Phlebobranchia; Cionidae
Description: microRNA cin-mir-196 precursor
Gene: cin-mir-196
Source: miRBase by way of RNAcentral